This 377-nucleotide ribosomal RNA is filed under the name uncultured bacterium. RNAcentral describes it as "bacterial SSU rRNA". It matches the Rfam family "Bacterial small subunit ribosomal RNA", at positions 521 to 896 of the family's 1533-position model. The record is from RNAcentral.
UAAUACGUAGGGGGCAAGCGUUGUCCGGAUUUACUGGGCGUAAAGAGCGCGUAGGCGGAACGUUAAGUCCGGUUUGAAAGCCCCCGGCUCAACCGGGGAGAGUGGCUGGAAACUGGCGUUCUUGAGGGCGGCAGAGGAGAGUGGAAUUCCUGGUGUAGCGGUGAAAUGCGUAGAUAUCAGGAGGAACACCCGUGGCGAAGGCGGCUCUCUGGGCCGACCCUGACGCUGAGGCGCGAAAGCGUGGGGAGCGAACGGGAUUAGAUACCCCGGUAGUCCACGCCGUAAACGAUGGUCACUAGGUGUGUGUGGUAUCGACCCCACACGUGCCGCAGCUAACGCAAUAAGUGACCCGCCUGGGGAGUACGGCCGCAAGGUUG